Lagopus leucura (white-tailed ptarmigan) is the source of this 855-nucleotide long non-coding RNA. RefSeq lists it as uncharacterized. The transcript is spliced from 5 exons. NCBI's taxonomy places the organism in Eukaryota, Metazoa, Chordata, Aves, Galliformes, Phasianidae. The record is from RefSeq and is a predicted model, not a curated record.
CUGCAGCGACUGCACCAGUUGCUCGAGCUCUUCCCACUGCAGGAGCUCAGAACUGACAAGAACCCUGACCAAAGCAGUAACUCCUGGUUCUGCUGGUACACCUCUUGUACCUGGAGCUGGCUCUCCAUCUGGCUGAGACGUCAUCUUUAACACUUCAAAACAAGCCUAAGGAGAAAAGAUUUUGGUGAUGUGACAUGAAAACAGACAGCACAAAUAUAGACCAGGAUGACAGAAGAUGUACACGCUGGGUGUUGAAUACCAUUUGGAAACCAAACCGCAGUUACUUGACAGUCCAGGAAAUUUUUCACAGCUGAGCCAUUGUGUUUUCUUCAGAAGUUCGAAAUAAGACUGGCAGAUUCAUGUCCAUAUUCACCCACGCAGCAAAGUACUGGAAGAACUGCAUUAUUUCAUCCCACUCUUCAGUGAGUUUCUAUUAUUUACCAUUGCAUGUUCAAAAUAGUUGAUGGGUGAAGGAAUGCUGGCUGGUUUUACGCUAAGAAAAAAGCCUCCACAAGUUCACAUUCAGUACAAUGGAAGGACAGAACCUGCCUGUACAAAUCUAUCCUACGCUGACCUAAGCAGAAGCAUUAGAGGUCAUAUAAAUGUUCCUUGUCUUAGUUACUGAAUCUGGUUUCUGUAAUCUGAAGACACAAUGAAGGUAAGGCUGCUUACACACUAUUUUCAGUUGUUUUUCAGGACAAUGGAUUUAAUGACAUAAAAAUGAAUUAACUGACUCUCCUGUCCUUACACUCUAUUAAUUGAAGAUACUUGAAGUUGAACUGGAAAAGCAGUACAUACAAGAUUUAUUGUUCCCGAUGGAAUCUUAGUCCUGCUGCCUUUUAUAUCCAUUCUGAU